Molecule: ribosomal RNA, 292 nt
Filed under: uncultured bacterium
Lineage: Bacteria
Description: partial 16S ribosomal RNA
Rfam family: Bacterial small subunit ribosomal RNA
Source: RNAcentral
GUGCCAGCCGCCGCGGUAAUACGUAGGGCGCGAGCGUUGUCCGGAAUUAUUGGGCGUAAAGAGCUCGUAGGCGGCUUGUCACGUCGGGUGUGAAAGACCGGGGCUUAACUCCGGUUCUGCAUUCGAUACGGGCUAGCUAGAGUGUGGUAGGGGAGAUCGGAAUUCCUGGUGUAGCGGUGAAAUGCGCAGAUAUCAGGAGGAACACCGGUGGCGAAGGCGGAUCUCUGGGCCAUUACUGACGCUGAGGAGCGAAAGCGUGGGGAGCGAACAGGAUUAGAAACCCUUGUAGUCC